This 482-nucleotide ribosomal RNA is filed under the name uncultured bacterium. RNAcentral describes it as "partial 16S ribosomal RNA". It matches the Rfam family "Bacterial small subunit ribosomal RNA", at positions 30 to 507 of the family's 1533-position model. The record is from RNAcentral.
AUUGAACGCUGGCGGCAUGCUUUACACAUGCAAGUCGAACGGUAACAGCACUUCGGUGGCUGACGAGUGGCGCACGGGUGAGUAAUACAUCUGAACGUGCCUCGUAGUGGGGGAUAACUCCUCGAAAGAGUAGCUAAUACCGCAUGAGAUCUAAGGAUGAAAGCAGGGGACCUUCUGGCCUUGCGCUACUAGAGCGGCUGAUGGCAGAUUAGGUAGUUGGUGGGAUAAAAGCUUACCAAGCCGACGAUCUGUAGCUGGUCUGAGAGGACGACCAGCCACACUGGGACUGAGACACGGCCCAGACUCCUACGGGAGGCAGCAGUGGGGAAUUUUGGACAAUGGGCGCAAGCCUGAUCCAGCAAUGCCGCGUGCAGGAUGAAGGCCUUCGGGUUGUAAACUGCUUUUGUACGGAACGAAAAGCCCUCUUCUAAUACAGGAGGGUCAUGACGGUACCGUAAGAAUAAGCACCGGCUAACUACGUG